UACGGAGGGUGCGAGCGUUAAUCGGAAUUACUGGGCGUAAAGCGCGCGUAGGCGGUUUUUUAAGCCAGAUGUGAAAUCCCCGGGCUCAACCUGGGAACUGCAUCUGGAACUGGGAAGCUAGAGUAUGGUAGAGGAAGGUGGAAUUCCACGUGUAGCGGUGAAAUGCGUAGAUAUGUGGAGGAACAUCAGUGGCGAAGGCGGCCUUCUGGACCAAUACUGACGCUGAGGUGCGAAAGCGUGGGGAGCAAAC
RNAcentral lists this ribosomal RNA (250 nucleotides) under uncultured bacterium. Its description in RNAcentral is "partial 16S ribosomal RNA". It matches the Rfam family "Bacterial small subunit ribosomal RNA", at positions 524 to 773 of the family's 1533-position model. The record is from RNAcentral.